CCUACGGGAGGCAGCAGUGGGGAAUAUUGCACAAUGGGCGCAAGCCUGAUGCAGCCAUGCCGCGUGUAUGAAGAAGGCCUUCGGGUUGUAGAGUACUUUCAGCGGGGAGGAAGGCGAUAAGGUUAAUAACCUUGUCGAUUGACGUUACCGGCAGAAGAAGCACCGGCUAACUCCGUGCCAGCAGCCGCGGUAAUACGGAGGGUGCAAGCGUUAAUCGGAAUUACUGGGCGUAAAGCGCACGCAGGCGGUCUGUCAAGUCGGAUGUGAAAUCCCCGGGCUCAACCUGGGAACUGCAUUCGAGACUGGCAGGCUAGAGUCUUGUAGAGGGGGGUAGAACUCCAGGUGUAGCGGUGAAAUGCGUAGAGAUCUGGAGGAAUACCGGUGGCGAAGGCGGCCCCCUGGACAAAGACUGACGCUCAGGUGCGAAAGCGUGGGGAGCAAACAGGAUUAGAUACCCCCGUAGUC
This 465-nucleotide ribosomal RNA is filed under the name uncultured bacterium. RNAcentral's name for it is "bacterial SSU rRNA". It matches the Rfam family "Bacterial small subunit ribosomal RNA", at positions 338 to 795 of the family's 1533-position model. The record is from RNAcentral.